UACGUAGGGUGCGAGCGUUAAUCGGAAUUACUGGGCGUAAAGCGUGCGCAGGCGGUUCGUUGUGUCUGAUGUGAAAGCCCCGGGCUCAACCUGGGAAUGGCAUUGGAAACUGGCGAGCUAGAGUGUGGCAGAGGGGGGUGGAAUUCCGCGUGUAGCAGUGAAAUGCGUAGAGAUGCGGAGGAACACCGAUGGCGAAGGCAGCCCCCCUGGGCUGACACUGACGCUCAGGCACGAAAGCGUGGGGAGCAAACAGG
RNAcentral lists this ribosomal RNA (254 nucleotides) under uncultured bacterium. RNAcentral describes it as "partial 16S ribosomal RNA". It matches the Rfam family "Bacterial small subunit ribosomal RNA", at positions 524 to 776 of the family's 1533-position model. The record is from RNAcentral.